GUUUGUUCAAAUUUCAAUCGCUAUAUUUAAACAGAAUAGUAAUUGCAUUUCAGCAAUUUUUUGUGCUGACUAAUUUUUUGUUAUAAUUUUUUAAAGAUCAUUUUAAUCUUUAUUAAAUUAAUUUUAUAGUGAAUCUGUAUGAGUUGAUUUCACAUAAAUCUUCUAAAUUCUAAAUCAAUGGAAUGAUUCUCGAUUGAAUCAUCCAUUUUGAGAGUUAUAUAGAUCUUUUUAAAUUUUAUACCCGGGGGUUGCGUCCGCUGCUUUUGCUUU
This 270-nucleotide unclassified non-coding RNA is filed under the name Hevea brasiliensis (rubber tree). The record is from RNAcentral. Lineage: Eukaryota; Viridiplantae; Streptophyta; Magnoliopsida; Malpighiales; Euphorbiaceae.